Molecule: ribosomal RNA, 865 nt
Filed under: Germariochaeta sp. TMISC001
Lineage: Eukaryota; Metazoa; Arthropoda; Insecta; Diptera; Tachinidae
Description: partial 28S ribosomal RNA
Rfam family: Eukaryotic large subunit ribosomal RNA
Source: RNAcentral
UUUGCCUUUAUGGCUAAUGUGAGAUGCAGUGUAUGGAAUGUCAAAUCUCUAGUAUGAGAAAUUAAUAAUUUAAGUCCUUCUUAAAUGAGGCCAUUUACCCAUAGAGGGUGCCAGGCCCGUAUAAUAUUAAUGAUUACUAGAUGACAUUUCCAAAGAGUCGUGUUGCUUGAUAGUGCAGCACUAAGUGGGUGGUAAACUCCAUCUAAAACUAAAUAUAACCAUGAGACCGAUAGUAAACAAGUACCGUGAGGGAAAGUUGAAAAGAACUCUGAAUAGAGAGUUAAAUAGUACGUGAAACUGCUUAGAGGUUAAGCCCGAUGAACCUGAAUAUCCAUUGUAGAAAAUUCAUCAUUAUGAUUGCUAAUAUUGAAAAAAUGGUGUGCAUUUUUUCUACAAGGACAUUGUAAUCUAUUAAUAUAAAUAAUUUAUCAAAAGAUCGCGAAAGUUUAUUCAGAUUAUUUUGCUUGCAAUUUAACAUAGAAUAAAUGCUUUUGAUUCGAUAAAGUGUUGAUAGAUUUAUAUAGUGCUUAAAUAAUUUUAUAAUAGCAUAUUAAUUAUUAAUUUUUAUGUAUAUUAUAUGCGCUUAUAUGAUUAACAAUGCGAAAGAUUCGGGAUACCUUCGGGACCCGUCUUGAAACACGGACCAAGGAGUCUAACAUAUUUGCAAGUUAUUGAGUAAACUUAAUAGCGAAAUUAACAUAACUAAAUGGGAUUAGUUUUUAGCUAUUAAUUCAAUCCCGGGGCGUUCUGUACAGUUAUGUAUAAUAAUAUUUAUAUUAUUUAUACCUCUAACUAGAGCGUACCUUGAGCAUAUAUGCUGUGACCCGAAAGAUGGUGAACUAUACUUGAUCAGGUUGAAGUCAGG